This 506-nucleotide ribosomal RNA is filed under the name uncultured bacterium. RNAcentral's name for it is "partial 16S ribosomal RNA". It matches the Rfam family "Bacterial small subunit ribosomal RNA", at positions 28 to 523 of the family's 1533-position model. The record is from RNAcentral.
GAUGAACGCUAGCUACAGGCUUAACACAUGCAAGUCGAGGGGUAACGAGAGGAAAGCUUGCUUUCCUUGUCGACGACCGGCGCACGGGUGAGUAGCGCGUAUCCAACCUGCCCCCAACUAGGGAAUAACCUUGCGAAAGUAAGACUAAUACCCUAUAAUUUCCUCAGAUGUCAUCUGACGAGGAAUAAAGAUUUAUCGGUUGUGGAUGGGGAUGCGUCUGAUUAGCUUGUUGGCGGGGUAACGGCCCACCAAGGCAACGAUCAGUAGGGGUUCUGAGAGGAAGGUCCACCACAUUGGGACUGAGACACGGUCCAAACUCCUACGGGAGGCAGCAGUGAGGAAUAUUGGUCAAUGGGCGGAAGCCUGAACCAGCCAAGUAGCGUGCAGGAUGACGGCCCUAUGGGUUGUAAACUGCUUUUAUACAGGAAUAAAGUUAGCCACGUGUGGUUAUUUGUAGGUACUGUAUGAAUAAGGACCGGCUAAUUCCGUGCCAGCCGCCGCCGUAA